Vespula vulgaris is the source of this 2878-nucleotide long non-coding RNA. RefSeq lists it as uncharacterized. Lineage: Eukaryota; Metazoa; Arthropoda; Insecta; Hymenoptera; Vespidae. The record is from RefSeq and is a predicted model, not a curated record. The transcript has 3 exons.
CAAAAGUUGCGAAGUGGGGAUAGUCGGCCUGGAGGGAGGACAACAAAGACGGUCCUUUGACUUACUUUUACAGUUACCGGUUCAGUUGUGUUUUGGUCUUCGAGGAGAGAACUUAGAAAUUUUCGCGGAGGCCGCUCGUGCGAUUAUUAACGAACAGACUAAAGUUGCGGAGUGGGGAGAGUCGGCUUGGAUGGACGACAACAAAGACGGUCCUUUGACUUACUUUUACAGUUACCGGUUCAGUUGUGUUUUGGUCUUCGACGAGAGAACUUAGAAAUUUUCGCGGAGGCCAUUCGUGCGAUUAUUAACGAACAGGUAGUUUAAAUAUAUAUCUGUAUCACUCAUGGGUACAAUAUUAUAUACAGUUUGUUGGAUUUUAGACAAAAGUUGCGAAGUGGGGAUAGUCGGCCUGGAGGGACGACAACAAAGACGGUCCUUUGACUUACUUUUACAGUUACCGGUUCAGUUGUGUUUUGGUCUUCGAGGAGAGAACUUAGAAAUUUUCGCGGAGGCCGCUCGUGCGAUUAUUAACGAACAGGUAGUUUAAAUAUAUAUCUGUAUCACUCAUGGGUACAAUAUUAUAUACAGUUUGUUGGAUUUUAGACAAAAGUUGCGAAGUGGGGAUAGUCGGCCUGGAGGGACGACAACAAAGACGGUCCUUUGACUUACUUUUACAGUUACCGGUUCAGUUGUGUUUUGGUCUUCGACGAGAGAACUUAGAAAUUUUCGCGGAGGCCAUUCGUGCGAUUAUUAACGAACAGGUAGUUUAAAUAUAUAUCUGUAUCACUCAUGGGUACAAUAUUAUAUACAGUUUGUUGGAUUUUAGACAAAAGUUGCGAAGUGGGGAUAGUCGGCCUGGAGGGACGACAACAAAGACGGUCCUUUGACUUACUUUUACAGUUACCGGUUCAGUUGUGUUUUGGUUUUCGACGAGAGAACUUAGAAAUUUUUGCGGAGGCCAUUCGUGCGAUUAUUAACGAACAGGUAGUUUAAAUAUAUAUCUGUAUCACUCAUGCGUACAAUAUUCUAUACAGUUUGUUGGAUUUUAGACUAAAGUUGCGGAGUGGGGAGAGUCGGCUUGGAGGGACGACAACAAAGACGGUCCUUUGACUUACUUUUACAGUUACCGGUUCAGUUGUGUUUUGGUCUUCGAGGAGAGAACUUAGAAAUUUUCGCGGAGGCCGCUCGUGCGAUUAUUAACGAACAGGUAGUUUAAAUAUAUAUCUGUAUCACUCAUGGGUACAAUAUUAUAUACAGUUUGUUGGAUUUUAGACAAAAGUUGCGAAGUGGGGAUAGUCGGCCUGGAGGGACGACAACAAAGACGGUCCUUUGACUUACUUUUACAGUUACCGGUUCAGUUGUGUUUUGGUUUUCGACGAGAGAACUUAGAAAUUUUUGCGGAGGCCAUUCGUGCGAUUAUUAACGAACAGGUAGUUUAAAUAUAUAUCUGUAUCACUCAUGCGUACAAUAUUCUAUACAGUUUGUUGGAUUUUAGACUAAAGUUGCGGAGUGGGGAGAGUCGGCUUGGAGGGACGACAACAAAGACGGUCCUUUGACUUACUUUUACAGUUACCGGUUCAGUUGUGUUUUGGUCUUCGACGAGAGAACUUAGAAAUUUUCGCGGAGGCCAUUCGUGCGAUUAUUAACGAACAGGUAGUUUAAAUAUAUAUCUGUAUCACUCAUGGGUACAAUAUUAUAUACAGUUUGUUGGAUUUUAGACAAAAGUUGCGAAGUGGGGAUAGUCGGCCUGGAGGGACGACAACAAAGACGGUCCUUUGACUUACUUUUACAGUUACCGGUUCAGUUGUGUUUUGGUUUUCGACGAGAGAACUUAGAAAUUUUUGCGGAGGCCAUUCGUGCGAUUAUUAACGAACAGGUAGUUUAAAUAUAUAUCUGUAUCACUCAUGCGUACAAUAUUCUAUACAGUUUGUUGGAUUUUAGACUAAAGUUGCGGAGUGGGGAGAGUCGGCUUGGAGGGACGACAACAAAGACGGUCCUUUGACUUACUUUUACAGUUACCGGUUCAGUUGUGUUUUGGUCUUCGACGAGAGAACUUAGAAAUUUUCGCAGGAAUCCACUCUAGCAAGAAUUAACGAAGAGUUGACGCAAGUAUAUUUUCUAUCACUUAUAUUUUCAUAAUUCUGUACUGUUUCUUUUGUUUCAGACUUAGAUUCUGCACUUCCAGGGACUUUGACACACUAUCUCCAAAAUUGGACUUAGAAUUUUUCUCACCUUCGUGCUACUUUGACAAUCUAUCUGCACGAAUGGACUUAGAAGUUUUCGCACUUUCGGAAGACUUUGAAAAUCUAUCUCCACGAAUGGACUUAGAAAUUUUCGCAGGAAGCCACUCUAGCAAGAAUUAACGAAGAGUUGACGCAAGUAUAUUUUCUAUCACUCAUAUUUUCAUAAUUCUGUACUGUUUCUUUUGUUUCAGACUUAGAUUCUGCACUUCCAGGGACUUUGACACACUAUCUCCAAAAUUGGACUUAGAAUUUUUCUCACCUUCGUGCUACUUUGACAAUCUAUCUGCACGAACGGACUUAGAAAUUUUCGCACCUUCGAGAUACUUUGACAAUCUAUCGCCACGAGUGAACUUAGAGAUUUCUGCACUUUCGGAAGACUUUGAAAAUCUAUCUCCACGAAUGGACUUAGGAAUUUUCGCAGGAAGCCACUCUAGCAAGAAUUAACGAAGAGUUGACGCAAGUAUAUUUUCUAUUACUCUUAUUUUCAUAAUUCUGUACUGUUUCUUUUGUUUCAGACUUAGAUUCUGCAUUUCCAGGGACUUUGACAAACUAUCUCCAAAAUUGGACUUUGAAAUUUUCUCACCUUCGAGAUACUUUGACAAUCUAGCGCCACGAGUGAACUUAGAAAUUUUUCC